CGGGGUUCAGAGAGCUGGGUGGGCGGCGGCUUGUGCGAGCCAUAGCGAGGUGGGCCCCGGGCAUCUUUGUGCAGUACCUGUGAGCCACGUUACUGUUUAUCUUGCAAAAGUUAACAAAUCUCUCUUAAGCCCGCACAGCGCUUGGGUGAGCCCGUCCAUUCGUCUUGACUUGAAUUGUAAGUGACUGCAAAUCUUUAUUUCCAGCCCAGCAAUCUCUCCUGAGCUGUCGAGUCGCUAUCCAUCUGCCCCUUUGGUUAUCGAUUUGGGAUUUACUCAUUCAACAUUUAUUGCACGUUCUCCGUGUACCAGGCAUCUUGCGCCCCCCCCCCCCAGCUCCCCCUACUGCUGUGUGACCUCAGCAAAGUGACUGACAGACUGCGGUGAAGCUUAAAUAGUGAAGGUAAGGCCCAGGGGCACAUGCUGCCCACUGCCCUGGGCUGGGUGGGACCCCUCUCCCAACGGGCCAUGCGUUUCCAGCCUGGGUGUGACUCUGGCAACGGGGCCUCGGGACAGCUGCCUCUCCACUGGCACAGCCGGUGCUGCAGCCCUGGGCACAUGGGUCUGGGAAGCUUUCCUGGACUCUGCCAGAGCCGGUCAGGCCACCCGGCUCUGGCUCGCACAGCCCCCAGACCCCCGAGGAAAUGCACAGGCGAGGGUCUGGAGAUGGGAUCAGGCCCCGCGUUAGGCUUUUCUCCCUCAAGGGCUCUGAACGGCCCUUUCCUCAACAUGUGUACCUGUGCUCUCUGAAUCCUCUUGAUAGUGCCCUUUCACAGAUGCGGAGACUGAGUCACUUGCUCUAGACCACAAACUCAAAAGUGACACAGCUGGUUUGGACUUUCAAGCUCAUGCUAUUAAAUACCUUGCCAAUUCAACGAGGGCGUCUUACCUGCUGUAGCCCUAAGUCUGACUGGGGAAACUGAGAACCAAAGAGGGGAAACUAUCCAUCUAAGGCCACACGCCCUGACUGACAGCAGAGGGAGGGCCAGAGCCUGGGCCUUCUGUGCUUUGAACACCUCCAAGGUACAGGCGUGCGCUCAUCUAAUGAGCACAUGAAUUCCAGGGGCAGGCGCGCCACAGUGUUCUACGGAUUCCAUAAUGCAUGUAUUUUCAGCUUUUAACAUCUCUGAAAUAGUUUCAACAGCAGCAAUGCUUUCUCAGUUUUAGGUCACGGAAACUACUUCUCAGUCAUUGGCAUCAGCCCAGUGGACAGAGGAGAAGACUGGCGGGGCAAGGCACAGCCCUGGGCCAACGCCACACGGCUAGUAAGCACUGGAGCUGGGAUUUGAACCCGGUUACGACAGAUUGCCAGAAAUGGCCAGGUUGCCUCCUUCCUUGGAUGCACACUCCGCUGCCUGGUGGCUUGGCCACUUCUCCCAGUGACAGCUGGAGUCUUUCUCAGCCCCCACCCGAAUCCGAACUGGCCUUGUGACUUGCUUGGACCCACAGACCAUGAGAGUUCGGAGAGUCCAGGCCUUGAGGGGCCCUGCAGCUUCCACUCCAGGAGGGGGUGCCUGAUACCAGUAUAGUCUCUGAAGGGGUAGGAGCCACAGAGAGCAGAGGUGGGACAGCCCAGGGACGCCCCCUGGACUGACCCUAUCCAAUAGGAUAGCGAUCUGGCCAUGAGGGGCUCUAUACAUUUAAUUAAAAUGAACGAAAAUGUAAGGUUCCAUUCCGCAGUCAUGCUGGCCCCAGCUGGAGCGCUCAGCAGCUACACGGGGCUAGCAGCCGUGGUGCUGGUCAGCGCGCACACGGGACACCAUCAUCAGCGCAGACAGCUCUGCUGGCCAGCGCUGCAGAAGCAAUCAGCUGGAAGCCAGACAGGUGCUGCUAGGAGCCUACCACCCGGCAGAGGCGACAUGGGUCCGGGAAGGCCUUCCAGCAAGGCAGGGGGUAACAUGAUGAGCACAAAGGAGGUGGCCUGAGGCUGAGCAGCUGUGGUCCAACAGACAGAAGGCUGGCACCGCCCUGCUGUGCUACUGUGGACCCAUUACUCACCUCUCUCCGAACAGUAACAGCCCCUUGCUAGUGUCUGUGCUCCCCUGGGGCUGCCUGUAGCCCUCUCCCGCAUCCCACAAAGCAGCCAGAGGGCCACGUGGCACACGCACUUGACACAGGCUACAGCUCUAUGCAAACACUUCUGUGGCUCCCUGCUGCCCCAACAGAGCCCAGGCACCCCCCCCAGCCCAGAGUCUUCUGGUCCCCACUGGCCUCUCUGCCCCACCUGACACCGCUGCCCACAGCUCCCCAUGGCUCCGGCUUUGGGGGCCUCCCUCCCCUCCUCUCGUGCCCAAGUGCCCUCUGGUCUUAGGGACCAGCCUGGAAUGCCUCCCACUCCUUUCAGGUCUCAGCUCAAAGGUCACCUCCUCCAGGGAGCCUCCCAGGCACCAUAGCCCCCUUCAUUUGCUUUUCUGUCGGUUCGAUCUGUAUUCUGUUCUUUGCCCUUGGAAUUCCUUGUCCUGUGCUGCCUCCCACAAGACGGCAAAGGUCCCAUCAGAAUUUGUCACCUCGGGCGCCUGGGUGGCUCAGUUGGUUAAGCAACUGCCUUCGGCUCAGGUCAUGAUCCUGG
Molecule: non-coding RNA, 2566 nt
Organism: Callorhinus ursinus (northern fur seal)
Lineage: Eukaryota; Metazoa; Chordata; Mammalia; Carnivora; Otariidae
Source: RefSeq, a predicted model, not a curated record